Molecule: ribosomal RNA, 253 nt
Filed under: uncultured bacterium
Lineage: Bacteria
Description: partial 16S ribosomal RNA
Rfam family: Bacterial small subunit ribosomal RNA
Source: RNAcentral
UACGUAGGGUGCAAGCGUUGUCCGGAAUUAUUGGGCGUAAAGAGCUCGUAGGCGGUCUGUCGCGUCGGCUGUGAAAACCCGGAGCUCAACUCCGGGCCUGCAGUCGAUACGGGCAGACUGGAGUUCGGCAGGGGAGACUGGAAUUCCUGGUGUUGCGGUGAAAUGCGCAGAUAUCAGGAGGAACACCGGUGGCGAAGGCGGGUCUCUGGGCCGAUACUGACGCUGAGGAGCGAAAGCGUGGGGAGCGAACAGG